RNAcentral lists this ribosomal RNA (3113 nucleotides) under Ulva sp. UNA00071828. Its description in RNAcentral is "16S ribosomal RNA". It matches the Rfam family "Bacterial large subunit ribosomal RNA". The record is from RNAcentral. Lineage: Eukaryota; Viridiplantae; Chlorophyta; Ulvophyceae; Ulvales; Ulvaceae.
CUUUUAUUGCGAAAAGGGCUUGGAGAAUUGAGCAAGUCCCUAUACUAGGCUGUUUUAUUAAAAUUUCUCUUUUAUAUACUUGCCUAUACCCUGAUAAUACAAUAAUUUCUAUUCUAACUAGAUUUCUAUUUAGAGAGUCAUUAAAGUGUGCAUAGAGGUAUAGAAUUCGCCGGAUAAGCUCGUUCUCUAAGGUGGAAACACUGUAUUAAAACAGCAUACACCAAAACUCAAUGAACUAAAAGAUUUUAUUAAUUGAAGGAAAAGAAACCAACCGGGAUUGCGCUAGUAGUACAGAGCGAAAGCGCAUAAGCUUAAUUUAAUAUUUUUUGUUUACAGUUGAACUUAAGUGGAAUCCGGACCAGAGAAAGUUAUAGUCUUGUAGAUUGUAAACAACAAAUGCUGAAAUUUAAAAAUUUAUUAUUUAUCUUAGUAUAUUAUUAUAAUAAUAUAAUUAUUAUAAUAAAUGUAAUGUAGUAUAUGAUAUACUAAUUAAUGGGGUACAAUAAUGUUUGUUUAAUUAGUGGUUAAACGCUGCUAGUGAUUGACGGAAACCACUCCGUUGGCUAAAUAUUUUAUGUAGAUCGAUAGUGAAUCAGUACUGUAAAGGAAUUUGGAAACAAGAAUGCCGUUGCUUCUCUGAAUACAAGUCCCAAAACAGGUUGCUUAUAAUGACUUUCAGUUUGGCUGUUAUAAUGUUAAAUAGAAAGGUUCCUUUUGAAUCAUGAGCUGAUGACUUUGUGUUAGUUAAAGACGUAUAUUAAUUGUUAUAUCCGGGUAUAUCCGGGAUUAAUAUAAGUAGCUUAAUUUAUUAAAAGUAAGCUUAUUAUGAAGAUACCCAUAGAAAACUAACACAAAACGCGAAACGAAGUGAUCUUAAGUAGGCCAGGGGGAAGGUUACCGGAAGGUAGUUGGACGCCCGAAGUGGUAUGCGUUGCAACGCGUUCAUAUGAGCUUAUUUAAGUGGCGAAAUACCAAUCGAACUUCGAAAUAUCUCGUUUUUUGCGAAACCUUUUUAGGAAGGGGGCCUGUCAAAUAUGUGCUAACUAGGUAGAGCGCUGUAAAACUGAUGGGAAGGAAACUUUUACUGAGGUGUUGCAAACCAUAAAUUAGGGGCAUUUAAUCAGGUACUCAGUCAGUGCGGGACAAGCUGCAUGUGACAAGAAGGAAACAGCCUAGACUAUUAAUUAAGGCCCGAAAAUAGCGCUAAGUGAGAAAGUAAUUAACUUCACAAAAAUUAGUAGGACGUUUGAUUAGUAGCAUCUACCGUUUAAAGAAAGCGUAAUAGCUCACUACUAUAGUUUAGUUGUUACGAAAAUUUAGCCGGACUAAGCGCUAUGCCGAAAUUAUAGCUAACUGAAUCGUUAAAUAAUAUAAUCAGUUAGAGUAGCAAAACGAACCAUGUUGAAAAAGUUAUGUCGGUAAGACUUAAUGAAAAUAUUGGUUGUGAAUAUAUCAGCUAGAGUAACAUAUAAAUUGAGACUUUAUAUAAAUAAAGUGUUUAAUAUUGUUUUUUAUAUUUAUAUAAAACUUUAUUUAUUAAAAGAAUAGUAUCUCAAUGAUCGGAAAUCCUAGGUUUUCUACACAACUAUUAAAGAUGUAGUUAAAAAAACGGUCCCUAAGUAAUAUGAAGGUUACAAUGGGUACCUGCUAUGCCCAAUAAAAUCUUAUUUGUAGAUCUGUUGCAGGAAAAAAUAGCAGGGAAUUUAAAGUACUACUAGUAGUUAAGUAUUCAAAGGGGUACUUUAAAAAAUUAAUACCGUACUAAAACUGACUCUGGUGGAUUAGUAGAUUUUACUAAGAUUUGGUUAUAAUCGUUCGUAAGGAACUCGGCAAAUUACGCUGGUACUUUCGAAAACAGCGGUCUAAAAUAACCUUUUAGAUCUCAGAUAAGAGAACUGGGUGACAGUUUACUAAAAACUUAGCGUCCUGCCAAUUUGAAACAAGACGUAUAGGAUGUGACGUUUGCUAACGGCCACUAAUUUAAGUAAUUUGUUGUAACAGAUAAAUAAACAAGAUGUGGUGACGAGCGGCCGUAACUAUAACGGUCAUAAAGUAGCGAAAUUCCUAGGCAUUUAAUUGGUGUCCUGCAUGAAUAACGUAACAACCUGGUUGCUGUCUCGCGAGCGAAAACCGUGAAAUAAGAAUAUCGGUCAAAAUACCGAUUAGGCUGUCUUAGACGAUAAGACCCUAUAAAGCUUUACUGUAACCUAACAUUGCGACCGGUUUUUUAUCUUACAGUUAGGCGGGAGGUCCUUUAAGGCCGACAAUGGGAAACCGCUAGGUAAUAAAUUGGUUGCUUUUAUAUAAGAAUGCUUUUUUAAUCUAUAAGAUAUUUAUAUAAGGUGUUUAUAUAAGAAUGCUUUUUAACCUAGACAUUAAAUUUAUAUAAGGCAUAUGAGAAAUCAUAUGGGUUAUAUAAAUAAACCUUUAUAUAAAAUACUUUAAUUAACAAAGCUCGAAGACAGUGUUAGGUGGGCAGUUUACUUGGGGCGAGGUCUGGCUAAAAAGUAACGCCAGAGAGCAAAAGGUAUGCUCAGUAUUGUCGGAAACAAUAUGUAGAGCGUAAUAGUAUAAGCAUGCCUGAUUAUAAGACUGACAAGUCGAAUAAGGACGAAAGUCUGCUAUAGUGACCCUCACAUGCUGGGUGGAAAGGUGUGAGAUCAACGAAUCAAAGUUACUUUAGGGAUAACAGGGUAGUCCUGGCUUAUAGUUCUUAUAGACGCCAGGGUUCGCCACCUCGAUGUUGCCUCAGGUCAUCCUGGAGCUGAACAAGGUUCCAAGGGCGCAACUGUUCUUUGCAUAAUGACCUACGUGAGGUGAGUUUAAACCGCCGUAAGGCAGGUUUGGUUCUAUCUAGACAGCCAUAAUAUUUAACCAAGCACUAGAAUUCCACUGUACGAAAGGACCCGGAAUUCCACGCCAAUGGUUUAGCAAUUGUUUUGGAAAAAGCAUUGUUGCAACGCUAAGCGUGAAAUGUUAAUUGCUGAAAAACUAUCAAGCAAGAAACAAUUGUAAAGGUUAUAGUAGAUCGCAUUGGCGUAAAUAGGCGCGGGGUGUACGCUUUGUAAGAAGCUAAGCUACCGCGUACUAAUUUUUUUUUUUUCAUAAAAUCA